This 414-nucleotide ribosomal RNA is filed under the name Triticum aestivum (bread wheat). RNAcentral describes it as "partial small subunit ribosomal RNA". The record is from RNAcentral. Lineage: Eukaryota; Viridiplantae; Streptophyta; Magnoliopsida; Poales; Poaceae.
AUGACGAGAAUUUUUACCCGGAAACAGUCCGUCCGACCGAUUUGGAGCCACCACUGCAUUCCACAUCUACAUGGAAUAUCCCGCUUCAAGGAACCAACUCAUUCCAUUCCACCACCUCAACCAAGGACCUCAACCAGACACAUCCUUAUUCUUUCUCUGUUUGGGCUUCCCACUGGUAGUACACAACAGGUGAAAGAUGAAUUUAAGCCAACAUCUAUUGACAAGACUCAAGCUGGCUCUCUGCAGAAGAGCAAAGAUAACCGGGUAACUGUGGAAUUUCAUAACAAUCAGCCUGGCAGGCCAAAGGUGGCAUUCGAGGGAAGCCAAGAAGAGUACAAGGAUAAUGAUGGUGUCUUGUUUUUGAUGGUGAGACCUUUCGCUUGGAACGAUUGCACCGGGCAGUCAAGAGAUUAA